This is a non-coding RNA of Podarcis lilfordi (Lilford's wall lizard), 2846 nucleotides long. Lineage: Eukaryota; Metazoa; Chordata; Lepidosauria; Squamata; Lacertidae. The record is from the annotation of a GenBank genome assembly.
GCCAGGGAGCAUGGCCAACUGGACAAGCUGGAGAUGUGAAGGCCCAGAAAAAUGGAGAGGGGUGGCAAUCAGACAAAUGGCCUGGAGAUUUAUUUCAUCUGAGACCUAACAUAUCUACUUAGGGCGAACUGGAAUUGCAAGUCCCAAAUUGUGGCUUGUGUUUUAAAGCAACCAGUUGGUGGGCAGGUUCACAGUUGAGCAACAGGAUGCAGAAAAUUGCUGGUUACUGUAAAGAUAUGAUCAUGUGAGUGGAGAGAAUGACAGGAGAGAGGAAAGAGGAAGGGGAAAGGGAAGAUGAGGAGGCAAUAUAUCAAGUAGAAUUCAGGGGUGCCCAAACUUUUUUCAAAGAGGGCCAGAUAUCUGAAGCAGACUUUGCACAUGCCUGAAGUGGGUAAUAACAUUAAUAGAGGCUAGGUACACCCUGAUAACAACCAAUUAAUCCUCAUUUGCAUAACCAACCUUUGAUCCCUGUUUCAAAGUAAAGAAAGCCAAUUUCUGUUGGUAAGCUUGGUUGGUUAGAGCCCAAUGCAGUUCAGGUAAGGUGGGUUUGAACAGUCUCCACCUCCACCCUCACCAAACUUGGGAAAAGGGGUGGUAUCCAUAAAUUUCUGCAUGGAGGGAUGAGUGAGCUAUUAAAUGGAUGAAAACUUGCAUUUCAAAUAUUGCAGAUGAGUGAAAACAGGGGACAUAAGCUGUCCACACUUUCUCUUGCCCCUCAUAAGUUUGAAAUAAUUUUGAAUGAUUUUCUGAACUGAAAAUCACUGUUACAAAAAAGAGAACAGGGGUGAAUUUAAUUUUCCCUCUUUAAUUUUUAGUUCAUAUUCCUCAAAUGUCCGCUGUCUUUGUUUAAAAAAUACAGUUUUGUGCCUUCCUUGGCUUUUGUUUUUUAAAAAGAUGCUGUUUAUUCACACACAAAAUGAGGUGCAUCUACUUAGAUAUUGAAAAUCCGCAUGAACUUGAUAUAAUCCUGGAUUGUUCCCAUCUUUGCUUGCAUAUUGCCAGUUUACAGAGGUGUGGAAGAUGAUAACAGUUAAAUGCCGGUCCUCUUGAUAUAGAAUCCCUGUGAGGUUGAGAGGGGUGUAACUACCAACUUAAGGCCCCAAGAGUAAAUUAUCUCUCUUACUCCUGUUCCAACUUAUCAGAGCUAAGAAAACAUAGAAGGACUUUCUGAAUCUCAUUCUCGAGAAUAUUCUCCAUCACUAGGUACAACCUCUUGACAAUUUCUGGUCAGCGGGUUUGUGUGUGAGAAACUAGAAGGGAUGGAAGGGGGUAUUCUGAAGUACUGUAAUAAUAUACUUCAAUAUUGUGUUGUAGGGCUUACACAUCUAGCUUUACGAAUCAUGUUUGGCUUCUUACAUCUAGUGCUAUUUUGGAAUAGUGGCUAAGAACACGAGCCAAUUGAAAUUUCAUUUUGGUCAUGAACUCACUAGGUGGCCUUAGGCUAAUGGUUUGUAAGUGGAUCUGGCAGGCGGGCCAACUGUCAAUCCGCCCACCCACCCACCCGUCAAUCACCUGAUAACAGGAUAUGUAAUGCUUUUUUAAAAAACAAAAAUAUUUUUGCUGUCUCUGUAUGUUGUCUGCUUCCUCAAAGCAUUUUUUUCAGAAGUUUGUGCAUAUUCCUCACACCUUUUGAUGUACAUUUACAAUGAAACUGCAUCCUAUACAUCUACAUAUAGGGUGAGUCCUUUAAAAGAGGCCCCAUGGAUACAGAGUACACAUGUUCCACGGCGCCUCUUUUAAAAGACUCACCCUGUACAGUGUGCACAUACACACAAAUGCAUGCACAUUUUCUAUAACUUUUGUGUGCAAUGAAAUCUAGGUCCUUAAAUGACCUGGGAAAAUUGCAUUGAGGUUCAGACUGCUGCCUCUUCCAUCCAUACACAUCCAUACAGAAAGAGUAGGAGAAAGAUCCUCUGGUGGUUUUCCCCUAGUGAUAGGACUUCCUUUCCUUAGAGGAAAUCCUUGAAGGAUUCCUCUCCCUUUUCCUGAACAUUGCUAAAAUGAGUAUGUGACCUUCUGUUUACACUUUCUCUUCAGUGUUACUGAUGCUGUGAGACAUUUUAGCAUGAUGACUUGUAGUAUAGUAAUUGUAGUAUAGUUAGCAGUCUUUUCAACAGGUUGGAGACUAAAUUGAUCAGCCAGAAUGCCACAUUAAUUAAUAUUCAUAUGAAUGUAAGAGUCAUGUCAGUUAUUUUCUUUCUUUCUUUUUUUUUUGUAUCUCUGCUGCUUUGGUUUUUUUUUUUUUAAAAUCCAGGGUUAUCUGUUUCAUAGAAUGACAUUCAACACUAUUGCUGGGUAGCAGUUUUACUUUCCAAUUCCUAAACAACCAUUGUCUCUUCUGCAUCUUAGGUGUGGAAACAAUUAUUUGUUUGCUCUGAUUAGCUGCUAUUUAAAAGCAUCGUUACUUCAGCACAUUGUGUAGCUGUUAAAUUUCCCAGAUCGCCAAGGAGCUAUAGAUCUCAGAAAGGCGUGUACUGUGCAAUACAACACAAUUUCUCCUGUCUGGCUCUCUCAUGAUGGAUUAUGACUGGUGAAUUAGAGGUCUGAUUUAUUGUGGGUCGGUGCAUCGUGGGCAAUGGUUUGUAGCGGCCAUGAUGUACCAGAAGCAGAGUUGAUAUAAUAUUUUAAAAUACUGUUUUUCUCCAACUGUCUCCUUCCUGAACAUCUCAUUUGUAUUCCUUCCACAGAGGUGACAUGAUUAUGUUGGGAUUGAAUCUGCCAGGAUCUUGUUUGGAGUGCUAAUCAUAUUUGCUGGUAUCUUUUCAUUAGCAUUUUAACCAUUACUUUACAUAAUUUACCUUCUAAACAGUGUUGAUUUUUUUUUUUAACAUGACAUUUGAUGGGCU